This 273-nucleotide ribosomal RNA is filed under the name uncultured prokaryote. RNAcentral describes it as "partial 16S ribosomal RNA". It matches the Rfam family "Bacterial small subunit ribosomal RNA", at positions 524 to 796 of the family's 1533-position model. The record is from RNAcentral.
UACAGAGGGUGCAAGCGUUAAUCGGAAUUACUGGGCGUAAAGGGCGCGUAGGCGGUUAGGUAAGUCGGAUGUGAAAUCCCCGGGCUCAACCUGGGAAUUGCAUUCGAUACUGCUUAGCUAGAGUGUGGAAGAGGGAAGCGGAAUUUCCGGUGUAGCGGUGAAAUGCGUAGAUAUCGGAAGGAACACCAGUGGCGAAGGCGGCUUCCUGGUCCAACACUGACGCUGAGGCGCGAAAGCGUGGGGAGCGAACAGGAUUAGAAACCCCCGUAGUCC